AGAGUUUGAUCCUGGCUCAGAACGAACGCUGGCGGCAGGCUUAACACAUGCAAGUCGAACGCCCCGCAAGGGGAGUGGCAGACGGGUGAGUAACGCGUGGGAAUCUACCCAGAUCUUCGGAACAACUGAGGGAAACUUCAGCCAAUACCGGAUACGCCCUACGGGGGAAAGAUUUAUCGGUUCUGGAUGAGCCCGCGUUGGAUUAGCUAGUUGGUGAGGUAACGGCUCACCAAGGCGACGAUCCAUAGCUGGUCUGAGAGGAUGAUCAGCCACACUGGGACUGAGACACGGCCCAGACUCCUACGGGAGGCAGCAGUGGGGAAUAUUGGACAAUGGGCGAAAGCCUGAUCCAGCCAUGCCGCGUGAGUGAUGAAGGCCUUAGGGUUGUAAAGCUCUUUUAGUGGGGGAAGAUAAAUGACGGACCCACAGAA
Molecule: ribosomal RNA, 431 nt
Filed under: uncultured bacterium
Lineage: Bacteria
Description: bacterial SSU rRNA
Rfam family: Bacterial small subunit ribosomal RNA
Source: RNAcentral